This 422-nucleotide ribosomal RNA is filed under the name uncultured eukaryote. Its description in RNAcentral is "bacterial SSU rRNA". It matches the Rfam family "Eukaryotic small subunit ribosomal RNA", at positions 592 to 1018 of the family's 1831-position model. The record is from RNAcentral.
CAAUAGCGUAUAUUAAAGUUGUUGCGGUUAAAAAGCUCGUAGUUGGAUUUCUGCCGAGGACGACCGGUCCGCCUUCUGGGUGAGUAUCUGGUUCGGCCUGGGCAUCUUCUUGGAGAACGUAUCUGCACUUGACUGUGUGGUGCGGUAUCCAGGACUUUUACUUUGAGGAAAUUAGAGUGUUCAAGGGAGGCGUACGCCUCGCAUAGGUUAGCAUGGAAUAAUGCUGUAAGACCAUGGUAUUGCUGUGUUGGUUUCUAUCACCUAAGGUAAUGAUAAACAGGGAUAGUUGGGGGCAUUCGUAUUUAACUGUCAGAGGUGAAAUUCUUGGAUUUGUUAAAGACGAACGACUGCGAAAGCAUUUGCCAAGGAUGUUUUCAUUGAUCAAGAACGAAAGUUAGGGAUCGAAGAUGAUCAGAUACCGU